This 378-nucleotide ribosomal RNA is filed under the name uncultured bacterium. Its description in RNAcentral is "bacterial SSU rRNA". It matches the Rfam family "Bacterial small subunit ribosomal RNA", at positions 521 to 896 of the family's 1533-position model. The record is from RNAcentral.
UAAGACAGAGGGUGCAAACGUUGUUCGGAAUCACUGGGCAUAAAGCGCACGUAGGCGGUCCGUUAAGUCAGAUGUGAAAGCCCCCGGCUCAACCGGGGAACGGCAUCUGAUACUGGCGGGCUCGAGGAUGGCAGGGGUGAGCGGAACUCCAGGUGGAGCGGUGAAAUGCGUAGAUAUCUGGAGGAACACCGGUGGCGAAAGCGGCUCACUGGACCAUAUCUGACGCUGAGGUGCGAAAGCUAGGGUAGCAAACGGGAUUAGAUACCCCGGUAGUCCUAGCCGUAAACGAUGGGCACUAGGCAGGGGAGAUGCCUAUGGUCUUCUCUGCCGUAGCUAAUGUGUUAAGUGCCCCGCCUGGGGAGUACGCUCGCAAGGGUA